This is a long non-coding RNA of Ictalurus punctatus (channel catfish), 472 nucleotides long. The record is from Ensembl. Lineage: Eukaryota; Metazoa; Chordata; Actinopteri; Siluriformes; Ictaluridae.
UGAGGUGUGUAUGAGGUGUGUAUGAGGUGUGUAUGAGGUGUGUAUGAGGUGUGUAUGAGGUGUGUAUGUGGUGUGUAUGAGGAGUGUAUGAGGUGUGUAUGUGGUGUGUAUGAGGAGUGUAUGUGGUGUGUAUGAGGUGUGUAUGAGGAGUGUAUGAGGAGUGUAUGAGGUGUGUAUGAGGAGUGUAUGAGGUGUGUAUGAGGAGUGUAUGAGGUGUGUAUGAGGUGUGUAUGUGGUGUGUAUGAGGUGUGUAUGAGGUGUGUAUGAGGUGUGUAUGAGGUGUGUAUGAGGAGUGUAUGUGGUGUGUAUGAGGUGUGUAUGAGGUGUGUAUGAGGUGUGUAUGAGGUGUGUAUGAGGUGUGUAUGUGGUGUGUAUGAGGUGUGUAUGAGGUGUGUAUGAGGUGUGUAUGAGGUGUGUAUGAGGUGUGUAUGUGGUGUGUAUGAGGUGUGUAUGAGGUGUGUAUGAGGUGUGU